This 393-nucleotide ribosomal RNA is filed under the name uncultured bacterium. RNAcentral's name for it is "bacterial SSU rRNA". It matches the Rfam family "Bacterial small subunit ribosomal RNA", at positions 521 to 916 of the family's 1533-position model. The record is from RNAcentral.
UAAUACGGAGGGUGCAAGCGUUAUCCGGAUUCACUGGGUUUAAAGGGUGCGUAGGUGGAUUGCCAAGUCCGUGGUGAAAUCUUCGAGCUUAACUCGGAAACUGCCGUGGAUACUGGUAAUCUUGAAUAUCGUGGAGGUUAGCGGAAUAUGUCAUGUAGCGGUGAAAUGCUUAGAUAUGACAUAGAACACCAAUUGCGAAGGCAGCUGGCUACGCGAAUAUUGACACUGAGGCACGAAAGCGUGGGGAUCAAACAGGAUUAGAUACCCUGGUAGUCCACGCCCUAAACUAUGGAUACUCGACAUACGCGAUACACUGUGUGUGUCUGAGCGAAAGCAUUAAGUAUCCCACCUGGGAAGUACGACCGCAAGGUUGAAACUUAAAUGAAUUGACGG